AUAUCAAUAAGCGGAGGAAAAGAAACCAACAGGGAUUGCCUUAGUAACGGCGAGUGAAGCGGCAACAGCUCAGAUUUGAAAUCUGGCCUUCGGGCCCGAGUUGUAAUCUGUAGAGGAUGCUUCGGGUGAGGUGCCUUCCAAGUGCCCUGGAACGGGACGCCAGAGAGGGUGAGAGCCCCGUACAGUCGGACACCAAGCCCAUGUGAAGCUCCUUCGACGAGUCGAGUAGUUUGGGAUUGCUGCCCUAAUUAGGAGGUAUACUUCUCCUAAGGCUAAAUAUUUAUAGGAGACCGAUAGCGCACAAGUA
This 307-nucleotide ribosomal RNA is filed under the name uncultured eukaryote. RNAcentral's name for it is "partial large subunit ribosomal RNA". It matches the Rfam family "Eukaryotic large subunit ribosomal RNA", at positions 40 to 350 of the family's 3401-position model. The record is from RNAcentral.